Molecule: ribosomal RNA, 432 nt
Filed under: uncultured bacterium
Lineage: Bacteria
Description: partial 16S ribosomal RNA
Rfam family: Bacterial small subunit ribosomal RNA
Source: RNAcentral
AACGAACGCUGGCGGCAUGCCUAACACAUGCAAGUCGAACGAGACCUUUGGGUCUAGUGGCGCACGGGUGCGUAACGCGUGGGAAUCUGCCCUUGGGUUCGGAAUAACAGUGAGAAAUUGCUGCUAAUACUGGAUGAUGUCUUCGGACCAAAGAUUUAUCGCCCAGGGAUGAGCCCGCGUAGGAUUAGCUAGUUGGUGGGGUAAUGGCCUACCAAGGCGACGAUCCUUAGCUGGUCUGAGAGGAUGAUCAGCCACACUGGGACUGAGACACGGCCCAGACUCCUACGGGAGGCAGCAGUGGGGAAUAUUGGACAAUGGGCGCAAGCCUGAUCCAGCAAUGCCGCGUGAGUGAUGAAGGCCUUAGGGUUGUAAAGCUCUUUUACCAGGGAUGAUAAUGACAGUACCUGGAGAAUAAGCUCCGGCUAACUCCGU